AGACACUAUUCAGACCAUCCGCCA
This 24-nucleotide non-coding RNA is filed under the name Arabidopsis thaliana (thale cress). The record is from RNAcentral. Lineage: Eukaryota; Viridiplantae; Streptophyta; Magnoliopsida; Brassicales; Brassicaceae.